Caenorhabditis elegans is the source of this 134-nucleotide non-coding RNA. NCBI's taxonomy places the organism in Eukaryota, Metazoa, Nematoda, Chromadorea, Rhabditida, Rhabditidae. The record is from Ensembl.
AAUGCAUAUAGUGAUAAGCAAUGGGCGAGCACGCACACACACUCAUACAUCACAUUGCUCGUUCAUCUUGACCGUAGGGAGGGUGAGGAGUACAUAGGGCAUUGCGAUAGUGCUUGUCUUGCAAAUUAAAAUAU